This 253-nucleotide ribosomal RNA is filed under the name uncultured bacterium. Its description in RNAcentral is "partial 16S ribosomal RNA". It matches the Rfam family "Bacterial small subunit ribosomal RNA", at positions 524 to 776 of the family's 1533-position model. The record is from RNAcentral.
UACGGAGGAUCCAAGCGUUAUCCGGAUUUAUUGGGUUUAAAGGGUGCGUAGGCGGCUUUGUAAGUCAGUGGUGAAAGCCCGCAGCUCAACUGCGGAACUGCCAUUGAUACUGCUAAGCUUGAGUAUGUUUGAAGUGGGCGGAAUGUGCAGUGUAGCGGUGAAAUGCUUAGAUAUUGCACAGAACACCAAUUGCGAAGGCAGCUCACUAAACCAUAACUGACGCUGAGGCACGAAAGCGUGGGGAUCAAACAGG